RNAcentral lists this ribosomal RNA (233 nucleotides) under uncultured Desulfovibrio sp. RNAcentral's name for it is "partial 16S ribosomal RNA". It matches the Rfam family "Bacterial small subunit ribosomal RNA", at positions 1150 to 1382 of the family's 1533-position model. Lineage: Bacteria; Pseudomonadati; Thermodesulfobacteriota; Desulfovibrionia; Desulfovibrionales; Desulfovibrionaceae. The record is from RNAcentral.
UGCCGGUGUCAAACCGGAGGAAGGUGGGGAUGACGUCAAGUCCUCAUGGCCUUUAUGUCUAGGGCUACACACGUACUACAAUGGCCGGUACAAAGGGCAGCCACUCAGCGAUGAGGCGCUAAUCCCAUAAAGCCGAUCUCAGUCCGGAUCGCAGUCUGCAACUCGACUGCGUGAAGUUGGAAUCGCUAGUAAUCGUAGAUCAGCAUGCUACGGUGAAUACGUUCCCGGGCCUU